Molecule: ribosomal RNA, 274 nt
Filed under: uncultured bacterium
Lineage: Bacteria
Description: partial 16S ribosomal RNA
Rfam family: Bacterial small subunit ribosomal RNA
Source: RNAcentral
AUACGGAGGGAGCAAGCGUUAUUCGGAAUCACUGGGCGUAAAGGACGCGUAGGCGGGUUUGUAAGUCAGGUGUGAAAUCCUACAGCUCAACUGUAGAACUGCACUUGAAACUACAGACCUAGAGUAUGGAAGGGGCAGGUGGAAUUAGUGGUGUAGGGGUAAAAUCCGUAGAUAUCACUAGGAAUACCGAAAGCGAAGGCGAUCUGCUGGGACAUUACUGACGCUGAGGCGUGAAAGCGUGGGGAGCAAACAGGAUUAGAAACCCCAGUAGUCC